This 584-nucleotide long non-coding RNA is filed under the name Rhinopithecus bieti (black snub-nosed monkey). RNAcentral describes it as "lncRNA (ENSRBIG00000045354.1)". The record is from RNAcentral. Lineage: Eukaryota; Metazoa; Chordata; Mammalia; Primates; Cercopithecidae.
UUUCAACAUUAGCAGUCAUUUCGGCAAAGCUCUCAGAGUCAAUUUCUCAUACACUGGUGUGAUUCGCAUUCACUGGGGACCCUUUGGCUCUUAAAAAGCUGCAGUUGCCCCAAAGAGGUGACGGAUAUGAACAAAUCUGUGUUGCUUUUCUCUUAAAAACUGUGAGUUUGCAUGAGGGAUCUGGGUAGAAAUAUGCUUCUUCUCUGUGCAUCAUGGGAGGCUGCUGCUCCGUUGGCUCUGAGAAUGAUAGUUGCCCCCAUAGGUGGUCCCUUGCAGUCUGGGAAAUCAAGUGUCGAGGAUGUCAUUUCCACCAGAAGAGUCAAGCCCUGAGCAGCUGCCUGCCUUCCUUUGCUACACCAGGAGCUCCUAGGGAGUCACAGGAAGCUCCAGUUACCACCGUCUCCAUCAGACGGGAUCCUUCCUCAGGAAUGCGAGCUGUGACAUUGCAUCUCCAUUGGCAGUCUCUUCUGUACUCCCAGCACUUAGCAUCUAGGCCCUGGAGGAAUCCAGAAGCACUGGCUUCUUCCGUCCUACCAAGGCAGGAAUGUUAAGUCACCUCUUCAUGCCUGUACCUCUGUCCCCCA